RNAcentral lists this long non-coding RNA (434 nucleotides) under Portunus trituberculatus (swimming crab). RNAcentral describes it as "uncharacterized LOC123500512, transcript variant X2". Lineage: Eukaryota; Metazoa; Arthropoda; Malacostraca; Decapoda; Portunidae. The record is from RNAcentral.
UCUCUCUCUCUCUCUCUCUCUCUCUCUCUCUCUUGAUUAUGGAAUGUAUAUCUAUAACUAAAUGAAGGGUUCUCAACUUUGGGGUAGACGUAUCUCCUGUGGUAGACUACUGGAGAGGAAUUCUGUGGAUACGUGACAGGUAAUACAAUAGUCACUCUUGCUAGUUUUCUAUAGAUCGCGUCGUUUCUCACGCGUACGAAACAGGUACCGUCAUCACAAGCACGACUGUUAACACGCAGAUAUCAAAAGAUUUCCUUCUCUCGUGUGUCAUACUUUGAAGGUUUCGAGCAUGGAGAAUUGUUAAAUCAAGAGCAGGUACCGUCAUCACAAAUAAGACAUCAGAAAAUUUCCUUCUCUCGUGUGCCAUGCCUUGAAAGACCCUGGAAGACCUACAGAACGCCAUCCGAACUGAAAUAGCCAAUAUACCGCUCAAC